RNAcentral lists this ribosomal RNA (368 nucleotides) under uncultured bacterium. RNAcentral's name for it is "bacterial SSU rRNA". It matches the Rfam family "Bacterial small subunit ribosomal RNA", at positions 29 to 414 of the family's 1533-position model. The record is from RNAcentral.
AACGAACGCUGGCGGCAUGCCUAACACAUGCAAGUCGAACGGGAUCCUGGUUUCGGCCAGGUGAGAGUGGCGGACGGGUGAGUAACGCGUGGGAACCUGCCCAGUGGUGGGGGAUAACUGCGGGAAACUGCAGCUAAUACCGCAUGAGCCCGAAAGGGGAAAGAUUGAUCGCCAUUGGAGGGGCCCGCGUUCGAUUAGGUAGUUGGUGAGGUAACGGCUCACCAAGCCUUCGAUCGAUAGCUGGUCUGAGAGGAUGAUCAGCCACACUGGGACUGAGAUACGGCCCAGAUUCCUACGGGAGGCAGCAGUGGGGAAUAUUGGACAAUGGGGCGAACCCUGAUCCAGCAAUGCCGCGUGAGUGAUGAAGG